This 77-nucleotide transfer RNA is filed under the name Escherichia coli. RNAcentral's name for it is "tRNA-Val". It matches the Rfam family "tRNA". From Rfam's summary of the family: Transfer RNA (tRNA) molecules are approximately 80 nucleotides in length. Their secondary structure includes four short double-helical elements and three loops (D, anti-codon, and T loops). Further hydrogen bonds mediate the characteristic L-shaped molecular structure. tRNAs have two regions of fundamental functional importance: the anti-codon, which is responsible for specific mRNA codon recognition, and the 3' end, to which the tRNAs corresponding amino acid is attached (by aminoacyl-tRNA synthetases). tRNAs cope with the degeneracy of the genetic code in two manners: having more than one tRNA (with a specific anti-codon) for a particular amino acid; and 'wobble' base-pairing, i.e. permitting non-standard base-pairing at the 3rd anti-codon position. The record is from RNAcentral. Lineage: Bacteria; Pseudomonadati; Pseudomonadota; Gammaproteobacteria; Enterobacterales; Enterobacteriaceae.
UGCGUCCGUAGCUCAGUUGGUUAGAGCACCACCUUGACAUGGUGGGGGUCGGUGGUUCGAGUCCACUCGGACGCACC